This 301-nucleotide ribosomal RNA is filed under the name uncultured bacterium. RNAcentral describes it as "partial 16S ribosomal RNA". It matches the Rfam family "Bacterial small subunit ribosomal RNA", at positions 509 to 807 of the family's 1533-position model. The record is from RNAcentral.
CAGUAGCCGCGGUAAUACAGAGGAUGCAAGCGUUAUCCGGAAUGAUUGGGCGUAAAGCGUCUGUAGGUGGCUUUUCAAGUCUGCCGUCAGAUCCCAGGGCUCAACCCUGGACAGGCGGUGGAAACUACCAAGCUGGAGUGCGGUAGGGGCAGAGGGAAUUCCCGGUGGAGCGGUGAAAUGCGUUGAGAUCGGAAAGAACACCAAUGGCGAAAGCACUCUGCUGGGCCGACACUGACACUGAGAGACGAAAGCUAGGGGAGCAAAUGGGAUUAGAUACCCCCGUAGUCCCUGUCUCUUAUAC